Molecule: ribosomal RNA, 406 nt
Filed under: uncultured bacterium
Lineage: Bacteria
Description: partial 16S ribosomal RNA
Rfam family: Bacterial small subunit ribosomal RNA
Source: RNAcentral
GAUGAACGCUAGCUACAGGCUUAACACAUGCAAGUCGAGGGACCGGCGCACGGGUGAGUAACACGUAUCCAACCUGCCCUUUACUCGGGGAUAGCCUUUCGAAAGAAAGAUUAAUACCCGAUAUAAAGGAUGGGGAUGCGUUCCAUUAGGUUGUUGGUGAGGUAACGGCACACAAAGCAUUCGAUGGAUAGGGGUUCUGAGAGGAAGGUCCCCCAGAUUGGAACUUAGACCCGGUCCAAACUCGUACGGGAGGCAGGAGUGAGGAAGAUUGGGCAAUGGGCGGUAGCCUCACCCUGCCAAGUAGCUUGAAGGAUGAAGGCUUAUGGGUCGUAAACUUCUUUUAUAGAAGAAGAGGUAUUAUAUGAAUAAGGAUCGGCUAACUCCGUGCCAGCAGCCGCGGUAAUAC